This 500-nucleotide ribosomal RNA is filed under the name uncultured eukaryote. Its description in RNAcentral is "SSU rRNA". It matches the Rfam family "Eukaryotic small subunit ribosomal RNA", at positions 33 to 558 of the family's 1831-position model. The record is from RNAcentral.
ACUGUCUCAAGAUAAGCCAUGCAUGUCUAGUAUCAUCCGAAACUGCGAAUGGCUCAUUAAAACAGUUAUAGUUUACUUGAUAUUGCAUCUUACAUGGAUAACCGUAGUAAUUCUAGAGCUAAUACAUGCGUUACGCCAGACUCACGAAUGGCAGUAUUUAUUAGAUAACAGAUCAAUAUUCCUCUGGUCUAUUUGAUGAUUCAUAAUAACUAGCUUAUCGAAUCGCUGGGUUGUACCCGCGAUAAAUCAAUCAAGUUUCUGCCCCAUCAGCUUGAUGGUAGUGUAUUGGACUACCAUGGCUUUUACGGGUAACGGGGGAUUAGGGUUCGACACCGGAGAGGGAGCCUGAGAAACGGCUACCACUUCUACGGAAGGCAGCAGGCGCGUAAAUUACCCAAUCCUAAUUCAGGGAGGUAGUGACAAGAAAUAAUAGACCGGCGUAAGCCGGGUUUACAAUGAGCCUAAUUUACACAGCUUAGUGAGGAUCCAUUGGAGGGCAA